GGGGGGGGCAAGCGUUGUUCGGAAUUACUGGGCGUAAAGGGCUCGUAGGCGGCCAACUAAGUCGGACGUGAAAUCCCCAGGCUCAACCUGGGAACUGCGUCCGAUACUGGAUGGCUUGAAUCCGGGAGAGGGAUGCAGAAUUCCAGGUGUAGCGGUGAAAUGCGUAGAUAUCUGGAGGAAUACCGGUGGCGAAGGCGGCAUCCUGGACCGGCAUUGACGCUGAGGAGCGAAAGCCAGGGGAGCAAACGGGAUUAGAUACCCCGGUAGUCCUGGCCCUAAACGAUGAAUGCUUGGUGUAACGGGUAUCGAUCCCUGUUGUGCCGAAGCUAACGCAUUAAGCAUUCCGCCUGGGGAGUACGGUCGCAAGGCUG
RNAcentral lists this ribosomal RNA (371 nucleotides) under uncultured bacterium. Its description in RNAcentral is "bacterial SSU rRNA". It matches the Rfam family "Bacterial small subunit ribosomal RNA", at positions 527 to 896 of the family's 1533-position model. The record is from RNAcentral.